RNAcentral lists this transfer RNA (70 nucleotides) under Orbilia oligospora ATCC 24927. RNAcentral's name for it is "Arthrobotrys oligospora ATCC 24927 tRNA". It matches the Rfam family "tRNA". From Rfam's summary of the family: Transfer RNA (tRNA) molecules are approximately 80 nucleotides in length. Their secondary structure includes four short double-helical elements and three loops (D, anti-codon, and T loops). The record is from Rfam by way of RNAcentral. Lineage: Eukaryota; Fungi; Ascomycota; Orbiliomycetes; Orbiliales; Orbiliaceae.
GACCUUGUGGUGUACUGGUAAGCAUACGGGAUUUAAAACCGAGGCUAUGGUUCGAUUCCAUACGUGGUCA